CGUGCACGCUGGCGGUAGGCCUAACACAUGCAAGUCGAACGGCAGCACAGUAAGAGCUUGCUCUUACGGGUGGCGAGUGGCGGACGGGUGAGGAAUACAUCGGAAUCUACUUUUUCGUGGGGGAUAACGUAGGGAAACUUACGCUAAUACCGCAUACGACCUACGGGUGAAAGCAGGGGAUCUUCGGACCUUGCGCGAUUGAAUGAGCCGAUGUCGGAUUAGCUAGUUGGCGGGGUAAAGGCCCACCAAGGCGACGAUCCGUAGCUGGUCUGAGAGGAUGAUCAGCCACACUGGAACUGAGACACGGUCCAGACUCCUACGGGAGGCAGCAGUGGGGAAUAUUGGACAAUGGGCGCAAGCCUGAUCCAGCCAUACCGCGUGGGUGAAGAAGGCCUUCGGGUUGUAAAGCCCUUAUGUUGUGAAAGAAAAGCAGCAGGUUAAUACCCCGCUGUUCUGACGGUACCCAAAGAAUAAGCACCGGCUAACUUCGUG
This 492-nucleotide ribosomal RNA is filed under the name uncultured bacterium. Its description in RNAcentral is "partial 16S ribosomal RNA". It matches the Rfam family "Bacterial small subunit ribosomal RNA", at positions 29 to 507 of the family's 1533-position model. The record is from RNAcentral.